Hordeum vulgare subsp. vulgare (domesticated barley) is the source of this 2362-nucleotide long non-coding RNA. RefSeq lists it as uncharacterized. The record is from RefSeq and is a predicted model, not a curated record. The transcript has 6 exons. NCBI's taxonomy places the organism in Eukaryota, Viridiplantae, Streptophyta, Magnoliopsida, Poales, Poaceae.
CACUUACUCUUUCUCCUUCUCCCCCUCUUUACGCAUCCCGCCGCCUCCUCCUUUCUCAGAUUGGGGAUGGCCGGCGCAACUCCAUUUUCCCCCUACCCUCUAUCCCCACGCGUACGGCGGCAACACUGGAAGAAUCUCGAGUCGCUAUGAUUAUCCACGGCACCGUCGUCGUCGUCGUCGCAGCGACACCAGAAGAAGCUUGAGCAUUGUGGUGGUCGUCGUCUUCCCGAUGCGUGCUGCGGCGACACCGGAAGAAGCCUGAGCCAUGGUGGUGGUUCACUGUGCCGUCGCCGUCGCCGUCGUCGUCGUCCUGAAUAAAUAGGCACGGUAAAAAUCCCCAACCCCGCAUAUAGCUCUUACUUUCUUCCCUGCACACACGAGGCAGCAGUGACGGUGCCGCUUCCUGUUCCCCCAUCCCUCGCGGCUACCUGCGUCGGCCGACGAAACGAGCCCGCAAUUGCUGUGCGCCCCCAGUGUCGCACUGCCUCUGCCACCUCGGCCUCUCUCGCAUCGCUCCACCUCAGCCUUGGUCUGCACACACCAUCGAACGUGGCUGGUAGCUUUUGAAGCCACGAAACCAACAGGGAGGACAGAUCGGCAAGUCUCAGUUAUCUGGUUUUCCCUAUAUCGUGGUUGUUCUACUGCUGAUUGUUUGUCUUUGCGGAUUCUUGGCUUCUCCGGCGCGUGCAUCUUUAAUUAAAAAGGAAAGAUUUUGUCCUCUUCGGGCUUGUAUUUAACCAGCAAGGUAACUUUAUGACAAGACUAAGCCGCUACUUUAGCAAGUAUCAGGGAGAAACAUUGGUCCUGCUGUCACCUGAUAGAAUUUUAUGAUGAGCCCCGCUUCGAGGUUGGAUGGACUUCAGGCUUGGGGGUGGCUACAGGUUGCAGGAUAGCAGGAUGUGUUCUCCAAAGACCGAGUGAUUGUCGUUGCCGACAGGUAGUGGGUGAUCAAGCUUGUGCAUUUUAUGACGCUGCUUGUCUUUUAUUUCGAAGGUAAUACGCCCUAAAUCAUUUACUGAACUUUCAGUUCUUUUCGGAACUAGGCGAGUAAUACCAAUUUGUUAUCUACCAUCCUUAAAUUAUUUGCCAUGCCAUCCAUGUAAGUUUUAGUAUCUUAUACUUAGUUUGGUGUAUGAGAGUAGUUUGUAAUUGGAGGAAGAUUGACACCAUGGCUGCAACUGGUUCAGUGACUAAGACUAUUUCAGGAUCAAUGUACAUUUGGUACUUCCUGCAAUUCAUUCCGGACGUUGAAUACUACUCUUGCUUGGGCAGCUCACUGGUUUUAUUAGGAUGUCUUGGAGGAAGGAAAGGUUUUCCUGAUGAAGAGAUUCAUGUGCAAGUGAGAUAGAGCCUGUCAUUGCCAUAUUUGCAGGUCAUGGCUAACAUCAUCAAGCAUCAGCAGCAAGCAACAAACAACAAGCAUCUUGCAAGAAAGCAGCGAUAGCAGCCACGCAGCCAGCGGCAGCAAGCAGCAAACAACAUGCAGAGGCAAUUUCUCACCCUGUUGCUAGUGGAGAGGUCGGGUGGCGCAGAGCAACGAGCUCCGGACAACGACAAUGGCGGUCAACGUGGAGGAAGAAGUAGGAGGGACCCGCGGCUUCAAAUCUGUGCUCCAGAGGAGACGCGGAUAAUGCGUAACCCAUCAUGGUCCCUAGAGCUGUUCGGUGAGGAGCAUGACCGCAGCGACGUCACGGCGGCCCGAUGAGGAGGAAAGUGGCCUUGGUCCAAGAGGCUCCUGCAUGCCGGCACCCGAAAUCACCAUUACAGGAACGCCAUAAGCAGUAAUGGAGCUAGGGGAACUUGAUAGAACACAUGGAUCUUCUAGGCAUAGAUAGAUCCGGUAGAACACGCGGUGUUACCUUGUCCUGAGCUGGAUGAGCUCCCACCGCUCUCCAUCGGUGCAGUAGCGACGGCGGUGACGGAGAAGGGGGUUUAGCGUAGGUGGAGCUUCCCGUGAGCACCGCGCUUACCUAUAUCAGAUAGGUAUGUUGGUAGGGGUGUGACGGCGGCGAAUCUCGUAGUCCAUGCCCCGGCACCCCACCGUCCUUUAUAUAGUGCGGGUCACAGGGGCCCACCAACCAUAAUGGGUUGGGCGACCCCGAUCAGGGCGCAUAGAUGGUGGGCCGUUGGGCCCACGCGGUGAGAGAUCAACCUAACAUUCUUUUCCUUGAUCUCAACUUUUAUUUUUGACUUUAUACUUUCUAUUUUAUUUGUUCCAUCACAUAUAGGCAUGUAGAGCAUGUUUCAUUGUCACAACUUAAUUGUCGAUAGAAUCAUACAGCUACAACACACUUUUGUUUUGAAAUAAAUUCAUUGACUUUUGGGUCUCUUAUGAUCCAAGAAUCAUAGGCUUUUCAUUAAA